Gadus morhua (Atlantic cod) is the source of this 2294-nucleotide long non-coding RNA. The record is from Ensembl. Lineage: Eukaryota; Metazoa; Chordata; Actinopteri; Gadiformes; Gadidae.
CAUUUUCAGCUGUUCUUGUCAAGACGAAAAGGGAGAAAAUGGGGCCACUGCUGCUUUUAGUCUGCAUGCUGGGAGCAACGCUCGCAGCUCCUGUCCCGGAAAGCGGAAGCAAUGAGGGUUCCCCGAUGGAGGAGCAAAUGAUGGGUGACGCACCUGCUGCAGACCUUCCCGCUCCUCCGGUCAGUGAUGACUCAGAGGAAGAGGAGGAAAAAGCCGCCGCAGCCCCCAAAGCAGCCGCCGCCGCCCCGCUGAACUCGGAGGAGGCUGGCGAGGACGGAGCCGAGGAGGAGGAAGCGGCAGAGGCGGCCGAAGAGGAACCCGCGGCCGAGGCAGAACCCGCGGCCGAGGCAGAACCCGCGGCCGAGGCAGAACCCGCGGCCGAGGCAGAACCUGCGGCCGAACCCGCGGCCGAAGGGGCUACUGAAGCUGUUGCCGAGCCUGCUGCCGAAGCUGCCGCUGUCGACCCGGCCGUAGUGGAGGCCCCUGCUGCGGAGGUAGUCCCAGCCGACGCCACUCCCGUGGUGGAGGCGGCCGCGGUGGAGGCUCCAGCGGUGGAGGCUCCCGCGGUGGAGGCUGCAGCGGUGGAGGUUCCCGCCGCGGAGGCUGCCGCGGUCGAGGCUCAAGUGGUCGAGGCUGCAGCGGUGGAGGCUGCCGUGGUAGCGGUGGAAGCGGUGCCAGAGCUGGUGGUACUAGCGGGUCCCGUGGAGGUCCAGGCUGGGACAGCGUAAUCGCCCCAGUUUGUCACCUCAAUUUCUCUCCUACUGACCUGAGUAUUAUGUCUCAGUAGGCCUAGGUCAUGUUAAUAUACUGACGGCGGCAGAUUUUUUGUCAUUUUGCCGGAUCAUUGGACAGAUCACAGGCCGCAUAUGGUCAGCCCAGACUGAUGUUAUUUUUCUUAUGUCAUUUACUUGAUGAUGUUUGUGAUGAUCUGUGAAAAUAAAUAUGUGGUGGUUGAAUUCAUCCACUCAUCAGGUUUAUUGUAUUACACUUAAAACGGAUCAAAUUGAUUAAAAGGUAACCAUUUACAAUAAGGGUACAAUAAUGAACUAUCAAUCUAAAUUAGUUAAUGCGAUUAUAAGCAUUAUCUAACAAUAACAAGAAGAUAAUUAACUUCUUAACGAAUAAUGGUGUAGUAGUCAUUACUUGUUAACUAAGUCAGUUUUUGAUUUAUACUUUUUCUAAUAGCACACAAAUUAAGAUAUUUGUUGUAUUAUAUUGAAUGAUUACUAGACCAUAAAUUAACUGUAAAUAAGCCCUUAGUUCACAUCACUCAUGGUUAACCUCUUUACCCUUAUUGUAAAGUGUUACCGAAUAACAGAUUACUACAGUUGAUCUUUUAGCAAUCCUUAAACAAUCAUAUUUCCAUAUCAAACCUAUAGUUAACCUAUCAUAAAAUAUAUACUAUAGCCUACAUUGCAUUUCCGUUAUUAGUCGUCGGCUCUGCUGUUUGGAUGCGAAUUGUCCAUCACCCACAGAACACUGCAGCCAAAGGAUCUUCCCAUGGGAUCGCAGAUUCAUCUAACAUGCAGUAGAUGUAGGCUACCAUUGUAACAAUCAAGCUCAGAUCUACAGAUGGGAUGGUUCGGACAGUCAUUUAUCACCACAUAUAAAUGCACAAGGGAUCGUGUGGCUCCAGUAGGACAGCAUUAGCAGCAGAACCGGUACACUCCCGGUGGAUUUGCUACAGCUUUAAUAGGAUAUAGAGGGGAUAGGCUAGAGUGCUGAGUAAGCACUUAACCAGCCAGGGAGGACUGAAGCGCUUAGAAUCCCUCCAAUAUAUAUUGGACAUAAUGCCCCCCCCCCCCCCCCCCCCCCUUAUGGGGAAUACAAACCACCUUACAUUAAGGAUCAGAGCUCUGUUUCAUAUUUCGUGUUUUGUUCUUUUUUUUUUUCUUUUACAUUCCUGGAUAACAAGUAAAUCCAGGAGAGUGCAAUUUUCUCCCUGAAGUAAAAAAAACAUAGCUAGUCACUUUUUUGCGGUUUCUUAUUGAUUGUGAAGUGUCUGAUAGUUGUCUGUAGUUGUGAUAUAUGAUGAUUACUCGUGUUCUCUGUAAAAAAUGUGUGAAAGAAAGGAGUGUGGAUGAAUGGUGGCCUCAUCCACUUUCAUCCUUCUCUAAUCCCCCUCGAUCCUCCUCAGGGUCACUCACAACUUAGUCUCCUUCCUGGGACUCUACGCUGCGUUUAAUUGUGCGGCUGCUCACCAAUACAUUCAUAUUAUGAUCAAUUCAACCUUCUGUGCUCCAAAGAUCAAACAAAACAUGGACUCAUCGCUCUAGAUUAGCUUGGUGGGAAAG